UCUGUGUCCUUGUGGGGGUGGAGGCAGCUCUGCUUGGCUAGCUCUGGGGAGCUCCCUGUGGCUGCCCAUGUCCCUAACCUCCAUGCUCAGAAUACACAGGGUCACACGGUUUGUUGGAGGGUGACCGUCCCUGAAGCCGAAUGGUGGCAACUGUGCUUCGGCUUCGAUUCAGAAACAUCCCUCAGGCAGGGCAUGGUGAGGACAGUUAACGCUGGCAGGAGGGACACUGGCUGCAGUUCUGGAAGGACAGGACAGUGCUGCCUCAGGGCUCACACUUCUAUUUCCCUUCAAGUUGGGACCACUCUUCAGUAGAUGAAGACGGUCAUGUAUUCAGCCAGGGUCACACUCAGACCCCUGUUCAGCUCUGGGUUGCUGCUGUGGGAAUCUGGCCAGUCACUUAACUUCUUGAGUCCAGACUUCCGUAAAUGGGUGGACCCCCCUUCCUCCCACGUGGUGCAGAGGGAUCCUGAAGGGAAGCACCUGCCCAGCACAGAGCAGCCUCCCCCUGGAUGCCAGGCUCUCCACCCUGUCUGGGAAUCGUGGGCGAGCCUGGGGAGAUGUUCUGGACGAGCGGGAGGCACGGUCAAAGGUCUAUGCCCCUGAACCUGAAAGCAGUCUCCCACUUGUAUUUACUCUAUUUUUUUUUUUUUUUUUUUUUGGUUUAAUGGUAUAAAACACAAAGGUUUACAGUGAGCAAAGCAAAUUCUGAGCAGAGACUUCUCCACCCCCAAGCCCCUCACUAAGGGCAGCCAGACCUGUUAUAAAUGGAAGGCACAAAAUCAAACUCAUCCCGACCCAGGGAACACAGCCCACUCCAGGGCCAAACCUGCAGAGUCCAAGAGUGACAGCCAGUCGUUCUGGCUCCAGGCACCACUUCUCCCUGAGCCCCCAACUCCCACGAGCAAUGCCGAGUUCAGUGGCUAAAAGAAGCAACUUCAGGUUUAUUUACGGAGAAAAGCCUUUGCCACGGCUGCGGAAGGAGCCCGUUGGCCAGAGUGUGUGGACAUCAACGUUACGCGAAUGGCUGUGCAUGCCAAUGGCUGGUAUAAGGAACUUUUAAGUCCUCAGGUUAAAUGAAAAACUCUGUGGAGCUCUCCACUGCAGCGAUACUUGUUAUGGUUUUCUACCCUGUUUAAGGUUCUAACCUCUCCCCAUUCCCCCACAUUUCUUUACAUCGACUUUAAUUUACUUCAAUAGCAAAUACAGACCUGUUUUGUUAUUUUUUUUUUUUUUUUUGAGACGGAGUCUCGCCCUGUGGCCCAGGCCGGAAUGCAAUGGUGCAAUCUCGGCUCACUGCAACCUCCGUCUCCUGGGCUCAAGUGAUUUCUAUCUGCUUCAGCCGCCUGAGUAGCUGGGACUACAGGUGUGCUCCACCAAGCCUGGCUAUUUUUGUGUGUGUGUUUUUAGCAGAGACAAAGUUUUACCAUGUUGGCCAGGCUGGUCUCAAACUCCUGACCUCAGGUGAUCUGCUUGCCUCAGCCUUCCAAAGUGCUGGGAUUACAGGCGUAAGCCACCACACCUGGCCCAGACCUGUUUUUCUUUUAACCCGUCACUAAACCCAAGAAAUACAGCUGACCUUGGUCCACAGGGAUGGAGCUUUCAGCCCCAGCAACAGAGCAGCGGGACAGUGGAAUGGGUGGGCCUGUGCCGACUCACGCCCUUCUCUGUGGACAAGGAGAACGGUAACGAUGGUGACGGUGGUGGCUGUGAUGACAGUGGCAGCCAGCAGCACUGAGGCAGGCACUGGUUCAGGCCAUUCACUGGACCUUUGCAGUUAAACCCACAUAGACUCUGGACUAAGCACUAUUAUUACUAUCCUGAUCGUGCAGAAAAAGAAAUGUUGGCUCAGAAAAGUCAGUGGAAGAUCUGAGAUUCUAGCCAGGCACUGACUCCGGGGUGUGCCCCAACCCCUGGCUCUGCACCUCCUGGGGGUGGCCACACUGUGACUCGGAGCGCCCGACAUUGAGACACUACAUUGUAAUGAAUCACAGAUUUCAGUCCUUAGAGUGGGGAAGAGAAUAAGGUUUGCAGGGUUCCCACCACCCGCCCUGGACCCCACACUGGGACCGUCACCCACUUCACCCCACCCCAGCAACUGCCAGCCCUGUCCAGGUUC
RNAcentral lists this long non-coding RNA (2116 nucleotides) under Homo sapiens (human). Its description in RNAcentral is "non-protein coding lnc-ANGPTL2-3:1". Lineage: Eukaryota; Metazoa; Chordata; Mammalia; Primates; Hominidae. The record is from RNAcentral.